This 1042-nucleotide long non-coding RNA is filed under the name Ananas comosus (pineapple). Its description in RNAcentral is "long non-coding RNA (ACOM_LNC012318)". Lineage: Eukaryota; Viridiplantae; Streptophyta; Magnoliopsida; Poales; Bromeliaceae. The record is from RNAcentral.
CGAGGGACUUCAUCUUGUAACAAGAGGCCAGGUUUGAUCGAGUCAUGUACAAAAUAGUGGGAGAUCAAGUUGGGUCGAGUCAUGUUUGAAAUAGCGGAAGGCCGGAUUGGGCUAAAUCAUAUUCAAAAUAGCGUGAGAUUGAUUAGGCCAACUCACUAUCAAAAUCCACUGGUGUUGUGUCUGUACGCUUUAAGUGAGUUGGUUGUUUAUUGGUCGCGCUUCACAUAAAAAAUGGUUACGUAUAUAAUUUUAUCAUGAGUCCUGCUACUAUACUCUUACAAGUGUAGAGCCUUUUAUACUCAUAAGCGUUCGGCCGUUAAAUCUACUCAUUAGAUCAUAUACUAUUCAACUAACAACUCACUCAAUCGUAAAAUACCACUAGCAUUCUAACCGCACAUCCCUUUAUCCAACGGUCGAAAAUUUAUGAGUAUAAAAGAGUCUAUACUUAUAAGAAUAUUAAGAGAAUUGUAGCCCUAAUAUAGACAGAAAAACAUAAUACAUAAUACAAGGACAGUGGUGGAUCCACCUUAAUUUCAAUAGGGUCUGCAAGACCCCACUGAAGUAUAUGAUAUACUAAGAAAAAACUUCAAAUACCAUUUCUGUGGAUUCGCACUUUCUCACUUUAGCAUCCUGUGGUUUAAAGUGUAUCAAGUUAGUGUCAAGUGGUUUCAUUUUUCUCUUUUUAUUAUUUAUUUCAUUAAUUUUUUUUGUUAAAUCAGUGACAAAUUUAAAAAUAAAGGGCACUGAAGUGAAUAUCAAUAAACCUGGGUGGGGUAUCUAAAGUUUUUUAUAUAUAAUUUAACGAAAUAUUAACGGAGGAGUUGACGAAAAGAGAAAAAUGAAACCACAGGACAUUGACUUGAUACCCUUUAAAUCACAUAAAACUUAAGUGAGAAAGUGCAAAACCACAUGGGUGGUAUUUCAAGUUUACCCACAUCUAUAGUAUAUAUGAAUUCUCAGUUAUGGGACAGGUGGCGGCGAGCGCGGAGGCAUGGGCGGGGGCGAGGGCGAGCGCGGGGCGCGGGUAGGCGGGCGAGCGUGG